Molecule: non-coding RNA, 253 nt
Filed under: uncultured bacterium
Lineage: Bacteria
Also listed under: 3 other names
Description: partial 16S ribosomal RNA
Rfam family: Bacterial small subunit ribosomal RNA
Source: RNAcentral
UACGGAGGGUCCGAGCGUUAAUCGGAAUUACUGGGCGUAAAGCGUGCGCAGGCGGUUUGUUAAGCGAGAUGUGAAAGCCCUGGGCUCAACCUAGGAAUAGCAUUUCGAACUGGCGAACUAGAGUCUUGUAGAGGGGGGUAGAAUUCCAGGUGUAGCGGUGAAAUGCGUAGAGAUCUGGAGGAAUACCGGUGGCGAAGGCGGCCCCCUGGACAAAGACUGACGCUCAUGCACGAAAGCGUGGGGAGCAAACAGG